UCUUUUCCUUUUGUGCCCGCAGCCGCGGUAAUACGUAGGGGGCAAGCGUUAUCCGGAUUUACUGGGUGUAAAGGGAGCGUAGACGGAUGGACAAGUCUGAUGUGAAAGGCUGGGGCUCAACCCCGGGACUGCAUUGGAAACUGCCCGUCUUGAGUGCCGGAGAGGUAAGCGGAAUUCCUAGUGUAGCGGUGAAAUGCGUAGAUAUUAGGAGGAACACCAGUGGCGAAGGCGGCUUACUGGACGGUAACUGACGUUGAGGCUCGAAAGCGUGGGGAGCAAACAGG
Molecule: ribosomal RNA, 284 nt
Filed under: Blautia luti
Lineage: Bacteria; Bacillati; Bacillota; Clostridia; Lachnospirales; Lachnospiraceae
Description: partial 16S ribosomal RNA
Rfam family: Bacterial small subunit ribosomal RNA
Source: RNAcentral